AAGCCUAUCCCCCCCUUGUUUCCUGUCAAACUGAAUCGUUGACCUUUAGGACGCACUCGCCACACCCACAUCCGCGCGCACGCACAUACGUCAAUACACCUCCCUCCUCUCAACGAAGCAACGCCCAGAGUUGGCAAGGAAGUUCGUGUGCGCCAGACGUCUGGUUACUAUUUUGUUUCAUCUCUCUCUGUUCGACUCGCUGCUGCUCUUCCGUUGUCCCUCAUCCACCGCACCCACCGCCCAUCAGCACCGCCGCCUCCUUGUGCCUUCUUUUUUCCUCUCCUCCCACCUUAUUGUACAGUGUCCUCUGCCGGUAUGACCAGUGAUAUCAGCCUCCCGCGUCCUCAGGCGCGUGAGGAGCGCCUUAUGCACCCGGUGGAGUUCAUUCAGCGCAGUGCGCGACGCCAGGAAGAGGCGCUGCGCAUGCACAACAUCCGCACUACGCACGGCCUGGGCGCCGCGACGGAGGUGGCGCUGACGGAGGUGACCCUGCUCGGCAGCCGUCGUCUCGGGGCCAUGCCUACAAGCAACACCCUCUACAACGCGUACCGCGGCAACUUCACGGAGUUGGCCCCCUGCGACCUCUACGGCCUGCCGGAGAACGACCCGAACGUGCAGCCGACGCCGCGCGCGCUUGUGGAGAAGCAGUUUCACGGCCAUGAGCUGACGAUGAAGACACUCGGCCUGUAAGGCUGGAUACGGUCUGGGUAUUUCCAGCCCGUGUUCCCGGAGAUGCACGCCCACGCACCCAUGCACGAAAUAGAGAAGUCCCAGAGGGGGUUGAAGAGCGCGCACGCUGGCGCGCAAACGCAAAGAAGCGAAAGCAUGCCGUGUACAGUUGCGCUCCCGUUCUCGUCUCCCCUCAUCCGUGUCUGGGCCCCCUCCCUUUUUUUAUGCCGCGGCUGUGCACGCACAUGCUCGAUCGAUGUGGGGGUAGGGCGAUGGCGCGUGAGGAGGGGGGGGGUGGAUUCGACGGGCUUUGCGAGCGCGUUGACCAUGCGCACCGGAUGACCGGCAUUCGCAUGCGUGAGUCACGUAGGCAUUCCCAGAGGGAAGUUGGCGUCGAUGGUGUCGUCUGCGAUUCCGUUUCGUUAUUUUGUGCGUUUCUGCCGACGCUACUCCCUCUCCGUAUACGUGCGCUUGCUCGGGUCCGUCUGACUCGAUCGCUGUGUCUGCGUGUGUCUGUGUGGAGUAUUCGAUUUGUUGUGGCGGUCGCCCACGAUGUGGUGGUGGUUGCCUGCGCAAGGCUUUGCGUGCCUCCGUGUUGUCUCUCGUUUUCUUGUCAGUUCUUUCCCGCCGUCACUCCGCCUUUCUCUCGCAUCCUCCCUUUUCUUGUUGUGGCUGACGUACUGUCCUCCGGCCCGCCGAGCUCCUUUGACAGGCUCGUGACCUCUCCGUCUCUCUUUGGGAGAGAGGGGGGUGCGCCACUGGUGGAUGAGAGAAUGAGAAAGUAAUCGCGAAACAAAAUAUGCUUGGUCUAACGGCGGUGAUGGUGGCAGGAUGGUUACACGGAAAGGGCUGCUGCUGUGCGCUGUGUCUGGGGCUCGAAGGGAAGCGGGAAAGGCACAUGGCCAACAGCUUCACUGCACUCCCUUUGUUGGCCGCGUUCGCCAGCUCACCCUCUGCGAGCCUUGUGUCGUACAGUGCAGCCCGGUAACCACUGCGGCAUCGCGCAUCCGGUCCGCUUCUGCAAAGGAUUGAUGCCAAGCCCCUCCCCUUGUUACACACGCACCUCUCUCUUCAGCUUCCUGCCCUCUAGACGUCUCCUUUUCGCUGCAGCAUCCUGCACCACG
Molecule: unclassified non-coding RNA, 1793 nt
Filed under: Leishmania donovani
Lineage: Eukaryota; Euglenozoa; Kinetoplastea; Trypanosomatida; Trypanosomatidae
Description: gene:LdHU3.19.0460(CDS-product:Proteasome_maturat ion_factor_UMP1_putative)
Source: RNAcentral